UUUUUUUUUUGUCUAAUAAAAUGAAAGAAAAGUUUGCUUGUUAAUGAGUUUAUAUAUUUUUGCAUUGUGUUAGUUAUUAUUCAGUGUAUGAUUUCAAGUUUAUUAAGAUUUAAUGAACUCUUUUUUUUUAAUCCAAUGAUUUGCUGAAAGACAGUAAGCUGUUUUGAAAUCAAAAAGGACAGAUUUUUUCUUUCUCAUUUUACCAGAUUAAUAGAUAAUUUCAUUAGUUUGAUUUUGUUCAAGAACAAAUUUUCAAAGUUUUACAUUUCUAUAAUUAUGCAGUAUUUUCUGGCAUUGUACAACAAUAAAUGCUGUUCUUUUGUAAGUAUAAAGUAAAACAUUUCCCUCCAAGACUUAUAAAAAAAAAUAAAAGAUAUGUUGAUGCUUUUUGUUUCUUGUAUAGGUGCACGACACGUAUGCCCACUGUGCAAGAAAUCUUAUUCAUUAUCAACAAACUUGAAACGACACCUUCGUCUGCAUCAUGACAGGCAAUCCAAGAGUCAGUGUCCACUGUGUGGAAGAUUGUUUUGUCGUUCUGACUACAUCAAAUCCCACCUCCGUACUGUCCAUGGUGUCAAGUAACAGACCUAUUUUAUUUGUCUGCUCUAAGAAUUUGGAUAUUGAAACAGGUCUUUUCUUUUCUACUGAAUGCAUAUCAGAAAACUGUAAUUCAGUGAGUCUUAGUUCAUGAUUGUGGCCGUACAUUGGCAAGAUGAAAAUAACAAUGGAAACCAGUAGAUUACUUGUUAAUGAGUUUUUUGUGGAUAUUUGGUGUGAAGGUUACAUCCACUUGUCCAGUAUGUGGUCAGAAAUUGGCAACUUCAUCGUCUUUGAAUAGGCAUCUUGCAACUCACUACCCCAGCACAAGCAAGUAUGAAUGCAAUCUCUGUGGGAAGCACAUAAAACGAAAGGACCAUUAUAACCUGCAUAUGCGACAAGUUCAUGGUUCACGGGAACAGCUCUACGUGUGUCCUAAGUGUGAUAAGGUGUUUACAACUGGCCACUAUCUGAAUAGACAUCUCUUUUGGGCACAUUCCGAAGAUGAUAGUACAAAGUCUAAUGAGUAAUCAAGAAUUAUACCACUAAUUGCAGUGUUCAAGACUCUGUGUUCUAUUGGUUGGAAAUUAAGAGGUUUAUCAAAGAGAUCAAGUUUCUUAGUAUAUUAUUUUAGAGUACUCAAAAAAUCAUUAAAGUGUACAAACUGUUGUAUUAAAGUAACUUUUUGUUAAUUAUUGAACAUGAAAAAUUCAGUGUUACAUAUUAUGUCAGAGUAUUUUAAAAAGUAAAUUACAAUGUUACUAGAAAAAUAUUUAAGAGUAAACACUGUAUGGUAUUAAUCAGACUCAACAGGAUAGUAUACUAUGUACAUGAUCUCGGAGUAUUUUAAAAAUAAAGGUUAUUGAAGUAAAUAACUGAAUUUAAUCUUUUAGAAUAAAAUUAUAUGACAUUAAUUCAUGCAAAUUGGUUAUAAUAUUACAUUAUUUUUGACAAAUGAACUAGGUAUAAAAAGUUUACUCACAAAAUAAUAAUGAAAUCUUCAGACCUUUUCUUUGUGUAUGAUGUGUGAUUUGUAUAUUUGUUCCUACUGAUGAUCUCACUUGAGCAAAGGAAAUUUUAUUAGUUAUAAAAGUUUAAUCUAUUGGAAACCCAACCAGCUGUGAAACUAAUAACUAGUAUAUUCUUGUAAUAAAAGCAGUGUACAUUGAAAAAU
Molecule: RNA transcript, 1711 nt
Organism: Limulus polyphemus (Atlantic horseshoe crab)
Lineage: Eukaryota; Metazoa; Arthropoda; Merostomata; Xiphosura; Limulidae
Gene name: zinc finger protein 846-like
Exons: 2
Source: RefSeq, a predicted model, not a curated record